This 183-nucleotide non-coding RNA is filed under the name Desulfobulbus propionicus. The record is from RNAcentral. RNAcentral also lists the same sequence under 1 other name. Lineage: Bacteria; Pseudomonadati; Thermodesulfobacteriota; Desulfobulbia; Desulfobulbales; Desulfobulbaceae.
UUAUCUUCGUCCUGUUCAGGUGUUCGUGCGAACAUAAUAGGGAACCCCGUGGGAAUCGGGGACGGGCCCGCCGCUGUGAACGGGGACGAACGCUGCACGGAAGUCACUGACGCCAAUGUCGGGAAGACGCAGCCAGUAGGAUGAACCGCAAGUCAGAAGACCUGCCUGGACAUUGAGGAGACG